This 468-nucleotide ribosomal RNA is filed under the name uncultured bacterium. RNAcentral describes it as "partial 16S ribosomal RNA". It matches the Rfam family "Bacterial small subunit ribosomal RNA", at positions 28 to 507 of the family's 1533-position model. The record is from RNAcentral.
GACGAACGCUGGCGGCGUGCUUAACACAUGCAAGUCGAACGGAAAGGCCCUGCUUUUGUGGGGUGCUCGAGUGGCGAACGGGUGAGUAACACGUGAGUAACCUGCCCUUGACUUUGGGAUAACUUCAGGAAACUGGGGCUAAUACCGGAUAGGAGCUCCUGCUGCAUGGUGGGGGUUGGAAAGUUUCGGCGGGUGGGGAUGGACUCGCGGCUUAUCAGCUUGUUGGUGGGGUAGUGGCUUACCAAGGCUUUGACGGGUAGCCGGCCUGAGAGGGUGACCGGCCACAUGGGGACUGAGAUACGGCCCAGACUCCUACGGGAGGGAGCAGUGGGGAAUAUUGCACAAUGGGCGGAAGCCUGAUGCAGCAACGCCGCGUGCGGGAUGACGGCCUUCGGGUGGUAAACCGCUUUCGCCUGUGACGAAGCGUGAGUGACGGUAAUGGGUAAAGAAGCACCGGCUAACUACGUG